CUGAAGCACAUAUUACUUGCCAAGUACUGACAUGUUAUGUGUUGUUCAGGUGUCAGCGCUGUGCAAAAUAGGAGGAAGAAACCUCAAGGACAGUGCAAGAAGGAUGCUGGAUAGGGUUUUAAAUAAUUCCCUUAUGUCCAAAUUUAAUAUGAAGGGGGGUGGACCACUGCAGAAGGAGGCAUUUGAGAAGACUGCAGUAUUCACAGUCAUAAGAGAUGAUGUGAUGACCAAUUUUCCAAAAGGAACAGUAUGACAUCGUACAUGCAAUUGGAGAGCAUUUCAAGCAAGCACCUGGGAGAACAGGGGGGGGAUAUAUAAGUAAACACAAAAAAUAAGUACCUAGAAAAUGUGAUUACCUUAACAGAAAACAAUGAAAAAAUAUUUUAAAUAACUUCUUAAAUUUAUUUUUAUUUUAAUAUUGUUUAUUGCAUUUUAAGUUGUAUUUAUAAAUGCUUUGUUUUGUAAUUUUCUGUAUUGUAUUUUAUUUAUUAUUCUUUUAUAAUUUUCUAAUUUGUGAAAUUUCGAUUUUACAUAAU
Long non-coding RNA from Triplophysa rosa, 536 nucleotides. RefSeq lists it as uncharacterized. Lineage: Eukaryota; Metazoa; Chordata; Actinopteri; Cypriniformes; Nemacheilidae. The record is from RefSeq and is a predicted model, not a curated record. The transcript is spliced from 3 exons.